GUGCCAGCAGCCGCGGUAAAACGUAGGAGGCAAGCGUUAUCCGGAGUUACUGGGCGUAAAGCGCAUGUAGGCGGUUUCUCAAGUGGCGUGUGAAAGCUCCCGGCUAAACUGGGAGAGGACACGUCAGACUGAGAGGCUAGAGGGGGCUAGAGGGGCGCAGAAUUCGGGGUGUAGCGGUGAAAUGUGUAGAGAUCCCGAGGAAUACCAGUGGUGAAGACGGCGCCCUGGGGCCUUACUGACGCUGAGAUGCGAAAGCGUGGGGAGCGAACGGGAUUAGAUACCCCUGUAGUCC
Molecule: ribosomal RNA, 292 nt
Filed under: uncultured bacterium
Lineage: Bacteria
Description: partial 16S ribosomal RNA
Rfam family: Bacterial small subunit ribosomal RNA
Source: RNAcentral